GGCUCCAUCAUAGUUGAAACAUUGGUUCCCAUAUGAUCACUGAAGUUAAGCAAUGUUGAGCCUGGUCAAUACUUAGUUGGGUAACCACUUGGGAAUACCAGGUGUUGUAA
Acanthosepion pharaonis is the source of this 110-nucleotide non-coding RNA. NCBI's taxonomy places the organism in Eukaryota, Metazoa, Mollusca, Cephalopoda, Sepiida, Sepiidae. The record is from the annotation of a GenBank genome assembly.